CUCAGGCCCAGCUUCCACGCACAUGCUGCUUCCCGGUUUGCUGACGUCCUCUGUGCUGAGAGCACCAUGUCACUCCUCAGCUGACAUCACUCUGGAUUGGCAGCCAGGGCCAUGAGCUCGUUUUGUCAACAACCCUCCCCCUCUUUUUGCUCUUUCCUGGCUGUGUGGUGGACUCUUCAGGGACACAGCAGUCACUGCGCUGCAGGGACAGUCCCCAAGUGCCAAGGCACAGCCUAAAGGGGCCUGUUCCCACCAUGGCAUCCGUGACAAGAACCAGGAGCCAGAAUGCAGGUUUCUGGGACUUGUCAGCUCCCUUCUGAGUGCCCUGUUGAGGAUUCCUAGAAGUCCAGACACCUCACCCCCCUAACCUGGAUGGACCACGCAGAGCCAAUAGGAAUACUUUUCUGUGGACGUGCCAUGUUGGAAUCCCAGAUCUCCCUGCCCUGCCAGCCCCUGCCAGCUUCCUGGGGACCCAACUGACCCUGAAGAAAGCCUCUGAUGGGCCUAGAACAGAGAAGGUGACCCAGGACCUUGCCCAGCCUUUCUGGACAACUGGAAGACAGUUACGCUUCGUCCUCCACCUCUCCCUCCAACAAAAGGAUCUUAGCAAGUGUUGGAGAGGUGCUGAAGUCGUAUUAGGACCAACCAGACUUUUUCUUUGAGGAUACUCAGAAGGAGUGAAGGAGAAUGGAACAGGGGGUGUGAAUAAAUGAGCUUUCUCCAUGUGUGAUUCAAAGUGGUUUAACCCAUGCCUCACCUUCUAGAACACCCGUGGCCCUCUCUAGCCAUGAGAAGUGUCACCACUAGCCAUCAAAAUGCUCCCAAAAGUCCAACCUUUGACCAAACUACAUUUCAGAUUUUCAUUUCAGAUUUUCUUAAAUUCUGGAGAAAAAAGAAAAUAAAGUAAAAGAAUAAAUAUUU
This 921-nucleotide long non-coding RNA is filed under the name Homo sapiens (human). Its description in RNAcentral is "non-protein coding lnc-WNT3-1:1". Lineage: Eukaryota; Metazoa; Chordata; Mammalia; Primates; Hominidae. The record is from RNAcentral.